UGAACGCUGGCGGCGUGCCUAAUACAUGCAAGUCGAGCGAACAGACGAGGAGCUUGCUCCUCUGACGUUAGCGGCGGACGGGUGAGUAACACGUGGAUAACCUACCUAUAAGACUGGGAUAACUUCGGGAAACCGGAGCUAAUACCGGAUAAUAUAUUGAACCGCAUGGUUCAAUAGUGAAAGACGGUUUUGCUGUCACUUAUAGAUGGAUCCGCGCCGCAUUAGCUAGUUGGUAAGGUAACGGCUUACCAAGGCAACGAUGCGUAGCCGACCUGAGAGGGUGAUCGGCCACACUGGAACUGAGACACGGUCCAGACUCCUACGGGAGGCAGCAGUAGGGAAUCUUCCGCAAUGGGCGAAAGCUUGACGGAGCAACGCCGCGUGAGCGAUGAAGGUCUUCGGAUCGUAAAACUCUGUUAUUAGGGAAGAACAAAUGUGUAAGUAACUAUGCACGUCUUGACGGUACCUAAUCAGAAAGCCACGGCUAACUACGUG
RNAcentral lists this ribosomal RNA (495 nucleotides) under uncultured bacterium. RNAcentral describes it as "partial 16S ribosomal RNA". It matches the Rfam family "Bacterial small subunit ribosomal RNA", at positions 30 to 507 of the family's 1533-position model. The record is from RNAcentral.